Synchiropus splendidus (mandarinfish) is the source of this 332-nucleotide long non-coding RNA. RefSeq lists it as uncharacterized. The transcript has 3 exons. Lineage: Eukaryota; Metazoa; Chordata; Actinopteri; Syngnathiformes; Callionymidae. The record is from RefSeq and is a predicted model, not a curated record.
GUGAAGAUGGCGGAUGUGUUGAGCGUUCUUCGUCAGUACAACAUCCAGAAAAAGGAAAUCGGAAAUUAAACGAUGUGGUGUCCGCAUCUGGAUCAUUGCGUCAGAUGAGAAGCUCUUGCGUGGCCUGUGUUUUCACAGUGUAAGACCCGAAGUCACCAAGAAUGCUAAUGACAAGUUUGACGCGGUUUAGGCGAGUGACAGCGGCCUCGCCCCGAUGCUCAGACUGCAAGCCGGCUUCUUCUUCUAUCUUCGGAAGCCGAUUACCAGUCGGUUGGGCAGCGGAGCGCCACCUACCGUCCAGCGCUGAUAGUUACUCCUACUACUACGACAAC